RNAcentral lists this long non-coding RNA (604 nucleotides) under Equus asinus (donkey). Its description in RNAcentral is "lncRNA (ENSEASG00005023857.1)". Lineage: Eukaryota; Metazoa; Chordata; Mammalia; Perissodactyla; Equidae. The record is from RNAcentral.
CGGUUCUUCUCAGAUCUCAACCCUGCUGCGUUUCCGACCGGAAGUUAGACCAUCCGCUCCACGGUUCUCCAGGUUGCUGACCGCAAAUCUCUGAAUUGGCUCACAGGAGUAUGGAGACCGAGAAGUCCCAAAAUCUGUGUCCGCGUUAAACUGGACAACGCGAGAGCAGAUGGCGUGACUUCCGGUCGGGAACCCAGCGGCUUGAGAUCCGAGAAGAGCCGCGUUUCAGUUACACUCUGAAGGCAGGAAACAACCUUUUGGAAUGAGGUGUGCAACAUAAGCUUUAUGAAGAAAAUUUUUCCAGCUUUGUUGAGCACAGAUUGUCAGCCUAUUCCCCUGGACCAAUCAAUCUUGAAUGGAGAUAAGAAAUCUGUAUUAAAUCCUCAGGUCAAGUUGGAGCCAUUUAUGAUUCAUUUUUAUAUAGGCUCAGUUCGACAAACCAAAUACACUCUUCAGAGGUUCAAACAAUUUACUAUUCAACAAUGCGAAGAUAGGUUAAAAUGCAUAUAAAUGAAGGACAGGAUCACUUUUAAAACUAAAACUUGAAAAUUUUGAAAUGAGAAUAUCACCAUCAGUAUAAUAUCAAUAAAAUCUUUCACUCACU